This 253-nucleotide ribosomal RNA is filed under the name uncultured bacterium. RNAcentral describes it as "partial 16S ribosomal RNA". It matches the Rfam family "Bacterial small subunit ribosomal RNA", at positions 524 to 776 of the family's 1533-position model. The record is from RNAcentral.
UACAGAGGGGGCGAGCGUUGUUCGGAAUUACUGGGCGUAAAGGGCUGGUAGGCGGCCAACUAAGUCGGAUGUGAAAUCCCCAGGCUUAACCUGGGAACUGCAUCCGAUACUGGUCGGCUUGAAUCCGGGAGAGGGAUGCAGAAUUCCAGGUGUAGCGGUGAAAUGCGUAGAUAUCUGGAGGAAUACCGGUGGCGAAGGCGGCAUCCUGGACCGGCAUUGACGCUGAACAACGAAAGCUAGGGGAGCAAACGGG